UUUUUUGUUUGUUUUU
This 16-nucleotide small RNA is filed under the name Arabidopsis thaliana (thale cress). RNAcentral's name for it is "ATSL234950". The record is from RNAcentral. Lineage: Eukaryota; Viridiplantae; Streptophyta; Magnoliopsida; Brassicales; Brassicaceae.